AACACGAUCAACUCUAGUUAAGAGUUGGGAAUGACCUUACAUUGUAAAGUGUUUGGUUUGAAUAAAUAGGUUGAUGAGUUCCCCAACGCGGCUCAAUGUGUGCUAGCGAGACAGUCGUCCCGAUCUCACAUUUCGGCUGCGUUGCAGAGUUCUAUCCAACAACCUCUUACCUAUCAA
Molecule: unclassified non-coding RNA, 177 nt
Filed under: uncultured Rozellomycota
Lineage: Eukaryota; Fungi; Rozellomycota
Description: uncultured Cryptomycota sequence contains ITS2
Source: RNAcentral